Molecule: ribosomal RNA, 253 nt
Filed under: uncultured bacterium
Lineage: Bacteria
Description: partial 16S ribosomal RNA
Rfam family: Bacterial small subunit ribosomal RNA
Source: RNAcentral
UACGUAGGGUGCGAGCGUUAAUCGGAAUUACUGGGCGUAAAGCGUGCGCAGGCGGUUUUGUAAGCCAGAUGUGAAAUCCCCGGGCUUAACCUGGGAAUGGCAUUUGGGACUGCAAGGCUUGAGUGCGGCAGAGGAGACUGGAAUUCCUGGUGUAGCAGUGAAAUGCGUAGAUAUCAGGAGGAACACCGAUGGCGAAGGCAGGUCUCUGGGCCGGUACCGACGCUGAGGAGCGAAAGCGUGGGGAGCGAACAGG